Molecule: long non-coding RNA, 2083 nt
Filed under: Homo sapiens (human)
Lineage: Eukaryota; Metazoa; Chordata; Mammalia; Primates; Hominidae
Description: HSALNT0352683
Source: RNAcentral
GCGCUGUGCGAGGCCCAGACUGAGGGCGAAACAGCAGGCAGGACUGGGUGGAGACGUUCGGGGACGUGGCAACUGGAGUUUCUUCUCCGUAUAUUUCGGCAUUCAGUUCCUUUUUUUUUUUGUUUUAACUCAGGAAAAAAUCUCAAUUGCGUUUAGUAUUUUGAAAGCCACUUUAUUGCUUCCCGAGCCUCAGUCAUGUGUGGUGGGAGGCUGCUGUGGGUGGCACCUGGGGCGUCCACGGCCGCCAAGGCGGGAGGACGUCAGGCCCUGCUUGCUCCCACCCCUUCCAGGUGAGAGCUCCCGGGCACGCCCGUCGUUGGCUCUUCGUCCUCUUGGUGUUCUUCCCUGUUGCUUCAAAUCAGGUUCCUGUCUCAAAAAUCCGAAAAAGAAAUCCUCCCAAAUGACUCUGUGCCCGACGCUCCGUUAAGGCAUCGUGCUAGGCGUUCUCAAACUCGUGAAAUGACUACACUGCACAGGUUAACCUCAUUGCUACUCUUCCCCUUGCCUCCUAAUUCUCUGGUUAAACUUCCGCCCCCGAGGUUUCUAGAAAUCCCUGAGCUGGAAUGCGCUGCCUUCAUUAAGAGGGUGUUCUGCUUCCGUCUGCUCACAUUCAUCUAGUAAGCCCUCUCGUUAAAGAGGAGGCAGCACACCGAGGCCUGUCUAGAACUUCUUUCAUUUAACCAACAGUGAAUAUCUAAUCUACAAGAAACUGGAGCCGUGGCAGUUUAGGAGCCUGCCAAGGUUGCAUCCCUGGGAGCUUAUUUUCUAUUGUGGGAGACAGGAAAAGAACAAGUGAAUCAACUGUGAAAUUAAAUAAUUCAAACUUAAAGCUGUUGGAACUUUAAAUUAUUCUGAGCCUUGCGAAGAAUGUGGCGAUGGGGCCUGAGUCCCAUGGCAUACAGCUGCAAUGUCUGCCUUGUUUUUUCCUAUAAUCAGGAAGACCAAACAGAGACAGAGGCGCACACACCAAGAAAGGCCAUGUGGGCACACAGCAAGAUGGUGCCUGUCUGCAAACUAGGAAAAGAGCCCUCACCAGGAACUGAAACAGCUGGCACCUUGAUGUUGGACUUUCCAGCCUCCACAACUGUGAGAGUUUUGGAGGCUGGUAAGUCCAAGAUCAAGGUGCCAACAAGUUUGCUUGUCUAACAAGGGCUGCAUCUUCCUGAGGGGAGGAACGCUAUGUCUUCACAUGGUGGAUGGCAUAAAGGCAAGAGAGUCGAAUGCUGCGUGAAACCUCUUUUACAAAGACCUCAAUCCCAUUCACAAGGGAGGAGCCCUCAUUGCCUAAUCAUCACCUGUUAAGGGUCUUGUCUCUUAAUUCUGUUACACUGGCCAUUAAGUUUCAACACCUGAAAUUUGGAGGAGACACAUUCAAAUCAUAGCAGCAGGUCACUGAUUGUUAUCUUUAUUUUACAUAUAAGGAAACUGAGGCUCAGCGAAGUCAUGUAAUUAUUCCCCAGGUUAUGCAGGCAGCAAAUGGCAGAGGCAGCUCAUUGUUUGGUCUUUCCAUACCAUGCUGUACUGUAGAAUUUGGAAAGGUUUAUUGCAUCACCAGUUAGUAAGUCAGGAACUAUAGCUCCCUUGGAAUUGCUACAUAUGAUGAUGUAUUGAUUCUGAUAGACACAAAAUAAACUGACAUAUUUAUAGUGUGACUUUUCUGAGCUUCUCUUUUUAUUUAAUGGAUCCAUAUUGACUGACCAGCUAAUGUAGCUAUCUGUAAAACAGCUUUGUAGGCCUCUCCCCUUUAUUUUUCCUCCCUGUAUAUGUUGUUUCAAGUAUAGAUGACAGGCUUUAAGAAUGGGAAGUGAAAAGGCAGAAUUCAAUCUACAAAUACAGGUAUAUCUUCAGAAAGUCCCAGAGUGCACCGCAUUCAUUCAAAAAGAAUCUUGUUACCACCAAUACCAAACAAAUACCCUGUGGUCAUCAAGGAGAAAAAUACUGUGCUCCUAGCCAAGUCUUUGAGUUUAUUACUUUACUAAUGUAUAGCAAAGAAAGUUCAGCCAUUUUGGUAUCCCAGUAUUACUUUUUAUUGCCUUAUAUAUGAAAAGGAGACACAGAAAAGGUUGUUAGGACUAAAUGCAAU